Molecule: ribosomal RNA, 480 nt
Filed under: uncultured bacterium
Lineage: Bacteria
Description: partial 16S ribosomal RNA
Rfam family: Bacterial small subunit ribosomal RNA
Source: RNAcentral
AAUGAACGUUGGCGGCGUGGAUUAGGCAUGCAAGUCGAGCGCGAACCCCGCAAGGGGUGAAAGCGGCGAAAGGGAGAGUAACGCGUGAGUAUUUACCCUCGGGACUGGGAUAGCUGCGGGAAACUGCAGGUAAUACCAGAUGACGUCCCCGGACCAAAGGUGUGAUUCCGCCUGAGGAUAAGCCCGCGUCCUAUUAGCUAGUUGGUGAGGUAAUGGCUCACCAAGGCAAUGAUGGGUACUGGGUGUGAGAGCACGACCCAGCUCACUGGGACUGGGACACUGCCCAGACACCUACGGGUGGCUGCAGUCGAGAAUCUUCGGCAAUGGGCGCAAGCCUGACCGAGCGACGCCGCGUGUGGGAUGAAGGCCUUCGGGUUGUAAACCGCUGUCAGAGGGGAGGAAUGGGCGGAGGGUAAUCUCUUCGUUUUGACCUAUCCUCAGAGGAAGUACGGGCUAAGUUCGUGCCAGCCGCCGCGGUAA